ACGGGAGGCAGCAGUGGGGAAUAUUGCACAAUGGGGGAAGCCCUGAUGCAGCGACGCCGCGUGAACGAAGAAGUAUUUCGGUAUGUAAAGUUCUAUCAGCAGGGAAGAAAAUGACGGUACCUGACUAAGAAGCCCCGGCUAACUACGUGCCAGCAGCCGCGGUAAUACGUAGGGGGCAAGCGUUAUCCGGAUUUACUGGGUGUAAAGGGAGCGUAGACGGCAUUGCAAGUCUGAAGUGAAACUCCGGGGCUCAACCCCGGAACUGCUUUGGAAACUGCAGAGCUUGAGUACCGGAGGGGUAAGCGGAAUUCCUAGUGUAGCGGUGAAAUGCGUAGAUAUUAGGAGGAACACCAGUGGCGAAGGCGGCUUACUGGACUGUAACUGACGUUGAGGCUCGAAAGCGUGGGGAGCAAACAGGAUUAGAUACCCUGGUA
Molecule: ribosomal RNA, 434 nt
Filed under: uncultured Lachnospiraceae bacterium
Lineage: Bacteria; Bacillati; Bacillota; Clostridia; Lachnospirales; Lachnospiraceae
Description: bacterial SSU rRNA
Rfam family: Bacterial small subunit ribosomal RNA
Source: RNAcentral